Molecule: ribosomal RNA, 566 nt
Filed under: uncultured bacterium
Lineage: Bacteria
Description: bacterial SSU rRNA
Rfam family: Bacterial small subunit ribosomal RNA
Source: RNAcentral
GCUUCGACGGGUAGCUGGUCUGAGAGGACGAUCAGCCACACUGGGACUGAGACACGGCCCAGACUCCUACGGGAGGCAGCAGUGGGGAAUCUUGCACAAUGGGCGAAAGCCUGAUGCAGCAACGCCGCGUGAGGGACGAAGGCUUUCUGAGUUGUAAACCUCUUUCAGCAGGGACGAUUGUGACGGUACCUGCAGAAGAAGCCCCGGCCAACUACGUGCCAGCAGCCGCGGUAAUACGUAGGGGGCAAGCGUUGUCCGGAUUUAUUGGGCGUAAAGAGCUCGUAGGCGGCUUGGCAAGUCGAAUGUGAAACCUCCAGGCUCAACCUGGAGAUGCCAUUUGAUACUGCCAUGGCUAGAGUUUGGUAGGGGACCACGGAAUUCCUGGUGUAGCGGUGAAAUGCGCAGAUAUCAGGAGGAACACCAGCGGCGAAGGCGGUGGUCUGGGCCAAUACUGACGCUGAGGAGCGAAAGCGUGGGGAGCGAACAGGAUUAGAUACCCUGGUAGUCCACGCCGUAAACGUUGGGCACUAGGUGUGGGGACCUAUCGACGGUUUCUGUGCCGCAGC